GUCCCGCAACGAGCGCAACCUCACCUUAGUUGCCAUCAUUAAGUUGGGCACCUAAGGGAACUGCCGCAGUUAAUGCGGAGGAAGGUGGGGAUGACGUCAAGUCCUCAUGGCCCUUAUAUCCAGGGCUACACACGUGCUACAAUGGACGGUACAAAGGGUCGCGAACCUGCAAAGGGGAGCUAACCCCAGAAAACCGCUCUCAGUUCGGAUUGGAGUCUGCAACCCGACUCCAUGAAGUUGGAAUCGCUAGUAAUCGCGGAUCAGAACGCCGCGGUGAAUACGUUCCCGGGCCUU
RNAcentral lists this ribosomal RNA (294 nucleotides) under uncultured Syntrophorhabdus sp. RNAcentral describes it as "partial 16S ribosomal RNA". It matches the Rfam family "Bacterial small subunit ribosomal RNA", at positions 1084 to 1382 of the family's 1533-position model. Lineage: Bacteria; Pseudomonadati; Thermodesulfobacteriota; Syntrophorhabdia; Syntrophorhabdales; Syntrophorhabdaceae. The record is from RNAcentral.